RNAcentral lists this ribosomal RNA (818 nucleotides) under uncultured Bacillota bacterium. RNAcentral describes it as "bacterial SSU rRNA". It matches the Rfam family "Bacterial small subunit ribosomal RNA", at positions 69 to 902 of the family's 1533-position model. Lineage: Bacteria; Bacillati; Bacillota. The record is from RNAcentral.
AAAGCUCUCUUCGGAGAGUGCAUAGAGUGGCGCACGGGUGAGUAACACGUAAGUAAUCUACCCUCGAGUGGGGAAUAACAUCGGGAAACCGAUGCUAAUACCGCAUAAUGCAGCGGCACCGCAAGGUGACAGUUGUUAAAGAUUUAUCGCUUGAGGAGGAGCUUGCGGCAGAUUAGCUAGUUGGUAAGGUAAUGGCUUACCAAGGCUACGAUCUGUAACCGGUCUAAGAGGACGGUCGGUCACACUGACACUGAAUAACGGGUCAGACUCCUACGGGAGGCAGCAGUCGGGAAUUUUGGGCAAUGGGCGAGAGCCUGACCCAGCAACGCCGCGUGAAGGAUGAAGUAUUUCGGUAUGUAAACUUCGAAAGAAUAGGAAGAAUAAAUGACGGUACUAUUUAUAAGGUCCGGCUAACUACGUGCCAGCAGCCGCGGUAAUACGUAGGGACCAAGCGUUGUUCGGAUUUACUGGGCGUAAAGGGCGCGUAGGCGGCGUGACAAGUCACUUGUGAAAUCUCUGAGCUUAACUCAGAACGGCCAAGUGAAACUGUUGUGCUAGAGUGCAGAAGGGGCAAUCGGAAUUCUUGGUGUAGCGGUGAAAUGCGUAGAUAUCAAGAGGAACACCUGAGGUGAAGACGGGUUGCUGGGCUGACACUGACGCUGAUGCGCGAAAGCCAGGGGAGCAAACGGGAUUAGAUACCCCGGUAGUCCUGGCCCUAAACGAUGAAUAUUUGGUGUCUGGAGUUAUUAGUGCUCCGGGUGCCGUCGCUAACGUUUUUAGUAUUCCGCCUGGGGAGUACGCUCGCAAGAGUGAAACUC